This is a long non-coding RNA of Drosophila biarmipes, 19709 nucleotides long. RefSeq lists it as uncharacterized. Lineage: Eukaryota; Metazoa; Arthropoda; Insecta; Diptera; Drosophilidae. The record is from RefSeq and is a predicted model, not a curated record. The transcript has 3 exons.
GCCAUGGCCGGAGAACGUCACUCUCCAAGGAAAAGUGUUCAAGUGCAGUUCACAGUGCAGUCGAUUAAAACCCAGUUCAAUUAGUACAGAGAAAUUUUCACUCUUGCCAAGGCAAGCAGUAUGGUACAUCCAAACAUGGAAAAGUGUAAAAAUCGUGUCCACCGAGACCAGCAGCAGUACGAGUUUCGCAAAAUGACGCCAGGGCCCACGUAGAGUUUGUCCUCGUCGGGCAUUAUUUGCUCUCGAGUUGGAAACAAAGAAACCAGACCCAGAUCCACUGGAAAGAUGUGAUUAGUCAUCGAUUUUGCUGGUCAGCGUCGGUGAAUUUCGCAAUGCGGCAGGCAGUUUCUCGAUUUUAGCUAGAAAGUGACCCCUCCUAGGCAGUCUGAGGCAGAAAUCAAGGAUAUGUCCAGGACUCCACUCUCUGAGUCGAAUGGCGAUGGCCCCGACCUGCGGAUUUUAUGAAUUGGGAUAGGAAGCCAGUUGGGCGUUGAAAGUUGAUAUCGAUCCGUGAAAAAGUCGAUACCCUGCGUGCGCAUGGGUCGGUAUAUGGGUGCUGAAAACGCACUCGACCCGAUUGCAGCGUUUUUCGAAAGCUGGCUAGGCGACCAUGACUCAGAUUACGUAUAUAUAUGUGUACAUAUCUAAGGUCUGGGUUCGCGGACCAGCCAGGGUGCUCGAUUCUGUCAGAUUGAUUGUGCGGAUUGUGUUAUAGGAACACUGGUGUAUCGACUUCUCUGCUCCACUAAGGGUGAGCGGGAGCCCUACCGAAAGGCCUUCUGUUGCUAACUAUCAUCGAACAAGUUCCAUAUCGGGCAGACAUACGUGGCAGCAUAUUGAAUCCGUAUCCGUUCAAUGACACAUCGUCUCUGGAUUAGUAAUUGAACCAACGAGGUCGACUCGCACAACCUGCCAGUUGGUUGUAAACAUUAAUUUUGUUCCUAUAUUCAGUUGUAGUCAAUACGGAAGUUAUAUAUCAACACCAACAAUGUGUCACUUAUGUUCUUAAAUAUCUUGAAACUGUUUAAAUUUUUUUGUUUUUGUACACUUCACCAAUUAAGAAUUACCUGUAUUGAUGUAAAUUAACCUGUCGAAUCACAACAAAAAUAGAAAAAAUGAAUAUCAAAAGAGCUCCUUAAAGGAAAAGCCACAGAAAAAGUGAAUAAAAAAUUCAAAAGUUCCAAAAAUAAAUCUCGAAACAUUUGCUCGUCAUAUUUUUUAUUUCACGCUUAGAUGCGAUUUCAGUUAUACCAUCGAACUUAAACGUAGCGUUACCAGAAUAGUCCCACGGAGGAAGGGCCUUAAAACCAACACGCCUAGUCUUCGUCUUACACAGAAAUUACUCUGAUGUUCUAAAACUAAAUCGAAAAAUCGGACCAAGAGUCUACACAAAAAGGAAGGGCCAGUGAUCUUUGAUAAGCGCAAAAAGUUUGUAUUGGAAAGACAAUUUGAAGGCCUAAGAGGCCAGCUUAAAAGUACGUAUAUCUCGAAUUUACAGAAAUCCCAGGUCACCAAUCUCCUAAGAAAGUUCAACGACAUUAAAACACGCUAUUAAAUUAAGAUAACUCCUGUUAGUAUUUUAAAACAAAAUUAGUUAAAAUUAAAAAAACUGAAGCCCUAACUAACAAAUUAGUUUAAAAUAAAUCUUCUCUCUCCCAAUAAAAACAAGCUAUUAAUUAAAAGUAAAAGAGGUAACAACGUUUUAGGCAGGUAUUUCCUUAUAUAUGUUUUGUAACAAUAACCCAAAAACUAGUAAAAAAUAGGAUCUUUAUUAAUUACUCAAAAUUAUCUGUCUCACAGACUCUAUAAAUGGUAUGCAAAUUAAUAUAAUUCAAAUCAAGAUUUAAUAGGUUGGGUACGUUAUGAAAGUGUUCCCAGUAAAAAGCGUGUGUUUACAAAAAGCAUAAGACCUAACAACUUGACAAGCAGGAUAACUAAACCCUUCGGUACUCUCAUCAAUGGAAUCCAAUCGCAAAAUCAUGUAGGAUCUCUUUAUCAAUUAGUCAAAAUAUUGUGUCCUAUCGACUCUAUUUUCGCAUAUAUGGUAUGCAAAUUAAUAUAUUCCAAAAUUUAUAAUAGUUAGGUAGGGUGCGUUAUAUAAGUACUCCCAAUAAAAACUGUGUGUUUAUAAGUAGUAAAAUACGUAAAAACUUGACAGGCAGGAUAACUGAACCCUUCGUUACUCGAAUAGAAUUCUACUUUUGAAAAAUAGGUAUGACCAUUAUGAAUAACUCCUAUCGACUCUAUUCUUAUAAUAAAUAGUGUGCAAAUUAAUAUACUCCAGAAUUUGUAUUAUAACAAAACUAAAUAGGUAGGGUAUGUUAUUAAAUUAUUUCCAGUAAAAAGUGUGUGCUUAUAAAAAGCAAACUUCGUAACAAAGUCACAGGCAGGAUAAGUAAAUCCUUCGGUACUCUCAUCAAUUUGUUGUAUGGUAUUCUACUUUUGAAAAAUAGGUAGGACCUUUAUGAGUUACUCGAAAUAUACUGUGUCCUACCAAUCCUAUUGUUAUGAUAAAUGGUAUUAGAAAAAAAACCAAAUAGGUAAGGUCCAUAAUUAAGGUAUUCCCUGUAAAAAGUGUGUGUUUAUAAAAAGUAAAAUACGUAACAAAGUGACAGGCAGGAUAACUGAACCCUUCGGUACUCUCUUUAAUUUCUUGUAUGGUAUUCUACUUUAAAAAAAUAGGUAGGACCUUUAUGAAUUACUCGAAAUAUACUCUGUCCUACCAAUCCUAUUGUUAUGAUAAAUGGUAUGAAUAUUAAUAUACUCCAGAAUUGGUAUUAUAACAAAACUAAAUAUGUAGGGUGCGUUAUUAAAGUAUUCCCUGUAAAAAGUGUGUGUUUAUAAAAAGUAAAAGACGUAACAAAGUGACAGGCAAACUGCAGGGUGCGUUAUUAAAGUAUUCCCUGUAAAAAGUGUGUGUUUAUAAAAAGUAAAGGACGUAACAAAGUGACAGGCAAGAUAACUGAACCCUUCGGUACUCUCAUAAAUUUCUUGUACGGUACUCUACCUUAGAAAAAUAGGUAGGAACCCUAUGAAUUACUCGAAAUAUACUCUGUCCUACCAACUCUAUUCUUAUGAUAAAUUGUAUGCAAAUUAAUAUACUCCUGAAUUGGUACUAUAACAAAACUAAAUAGGUAGGGUGCGUUAUUAAAGUAUUCCCUGUAAAAAGUGUGGGAUUGUCAAAUCUUAAUGACGUAACAACUUGACAGGCAGGAUAACUGAAUCCUUCGGUACUCUCAUCAAUUUGUUGUUGGUAUUCUACUUUUAAAAAAUAGUUGGAUCUUUAUGAAUUACUCGAAAUAUACAAUGUCCUAUCGACUCUAUUCUUAUGAUAAAUGGUAUGAAUAUUAAUAUACUCCCGAAUUGGUAUUAUAACAAAACUAAAUAGGUAGGGUGCGUUAUUAAAGUAUUCCCGGUAAAAAGUGUGGGAUUGUAAAGUCUUAAAGACGUAACAACAUGACAGGCAGGAUAACUGAACCCUUCGGUACCCUCAUCAAUUUGUUUAUGGUAUUCUACUUUUGAAAAAUAAGUAGGAACUUUAUGAAUUACCCGAAAUAUACUCUGUCCUACCAACUCUAUUCUUAUGAUAAAUGGUAUAAGUAAAGAACUAAGUAGGUAGGGUGCAUUAUUGAAGUAUUCCCUGUACAAAGUGUGGGAUUGUAAAAACUUAAAGACGUAACAACUUGGCAGGCAAAAUAACUGAACCCUUCGGUACUUUUAUCAAUUUCUUGUAUGGCAUUCUACUUUUGAAAAAUAGGUAGGACCUUUAUAAAUUACUCCAAAUAUUCUCUCUCCUCUAGACUCUCUUUUUAUGAUAAAUGGUAUGGAAAUUAAUACACUUCAGAAUUGGUAUUAGAGCAAUACUAAAUAGGUAGGGUACGUUAUGAAAGUACGACCAGUAAUAAGUGCGUGUUCAUAAAAAGUAAAAGACGUAUGAACGUAACAGGCAGGAUAACUGAACCCUUCGGUACUCUCAUCAAUUUCUUGUUUGGUAUUCUACUUUUGAAAAAUAAGUUGGACCUUUUGAAUUACUCCAAAUAUACUGUGUCCUAUCGACUCUGCUCUUAUGAUAAAUGGUAUUAAACAAAUACUUAAUAGGUAGGUUGCGAUAAUAAAGUAUUCCCUGUAAAAAGUGUGUGUUUAUAAAAAGUAAAACACGUAACAAAGUGAAAGGCAGGAUAACUGAAACCUUCGGUACUCUCAUCAAUUUCUUGUAUGGAAUUCUACUUUUAAAAAAUAUUUAGGACCUUUAUGAAAUAUUCGAAAUGUACUUUCUCCUAUCGACUCUAUUCUUAUAAUAAAUGGUAUUGAACAAAUACUAAAUAGUUAGGGUGCAAUAUUAAAGUAUUCCCUGUAAAAAGUGUUUGUUUAUAAAAAGUAAAAGACGUAACAAAGUGAAAGGCAAGAUAACUGAACCCUUCGGUACUCUCAUCAAUUUCUUGUUUGGUAUUCUACUUUCGAAAAAUAAGUUGGACCUUUUGAAUUACUCCAACUAUACUGUGUCCUAUCGACUCUGGUCUUAUGAUAAAUGGUAUUAAACAAAUACUUAAUAGGUAGGUUGCGAUAAUAAAGUAUUCCCUGUAAAAAGUGUGUGUUUAUAAAAAGUAAAACACGUAACAAAGUGAAAGGCAGGAUAACUGAACCCUUCGGUACUCUCAUCAAUUUCUUGUUUGGUAUUCUACUUUCGAAAAAUAAGUUGGACCUUUUGAAUUACUCCAAAUAUACUGUGUCCUAUCGACUCUGCUCUUAUGAUAAAUGGUAUUAAACAAAUACUUAAUAGGUAGGUUGCGAUAAUAAAGUAUUCCCUGUAAAAAGUGUGUGUUUAUCAAAAGUAAAACACGUAACAAAGUGAAAGGCAAGAUAACUGAACCCUUCGGUACUCUCAUUAAUUUCUUGUAUGGUAUUGUGCUUUCGAAAAAUAGGUAGGACCUAUUGAAUUACUCGAAAUAUACUCUGUCCUACCAACUCUAUUCUUAUGAUAAAUGGUAUUCGAAAAAAAUAGAAUAGGUAGGAUGCGUUAUUAAAGUAUUUCCUGUAAAAAGUGUGUGUUUAUAAAAAGUAAAAGGCGUAACAAAGUGACAGGCAGGAUAACUGAACCCUUCCGUACUCUCAUACAUUUAUUGUAAGGUAUUCUGCUUUUGAACAAGAAAGGAAGGUAAUUUCGGCAAGCCGAAAUUUGUAUACCCUUGCAGUUAUAAGAAAUAAUCAACUUUAGGAACACCAUCUUAAAUUUUUAAUGAUUGUUGAUGUUAGGUGAAAUUAAACAGAAUUAUUUCAUUUUUUCCCUAACCCUUUUUUUUGACAGCUAUGUAUUAAAGUCGUCCGUUUUUAUUAAAUUUAAUUCAAAAAUUAUAAAAACAUAAAAACUGAUAUUUCCAGUAUUAUAAGAUAAUUUGUUAAAAAACACCAACGCUAUAAGCUGUUUUACAUUAUUUUCCAAUUCAUGUUUCGAUCGUCCCUAUGGCAGCUAUAUAAUACAGUCUUCCGAUUUUGUAAAUUAUUAAAAUUCAGAACUAACCAAAAAAAUGUUAUUUCCAAGCUUAUGAGGUUAUAUGUUAAAAACACGAGAAAUAUAAUUUUUACAAUUUUUUUUUUACCGAUUUUUCCUAUGGAAGCUAUAAGAUAUGGUAUAAGACGUAACAACGUAACAGGCAGGAUAACUGAACCCUUCGGUAGGACGCGCUAUGAAAGUAUUCCCAGCAAACAUUUUACGCUUUACAAAAAGUAAAAGACGUAACAACUUAACAGACAGUAUAACUGAACCUUUGUGUAUUCUCAUCAACUUCUUGUAUGGUAUUCUACUUUUGAAAAAUAGGUAGGACCUUUAUGAAUUACUCCAGAACUGGUACUUUAACAAAACUAAAUAAAUAGGAUGAUUACUGAAAGUAUUCCCAGUAAAAAAAGUGUGUUUAUAAAAAGUAAAAGACCGAUCAACGUGACAGUCAGGAUAACUGAACCCUUCGGUACUCUGAUCAAUGUCUUAUAUGGUAUUAUAUGGUAUUCUACAUUUGAAAAAUAGGAAUGACCUUUAUGAAUUACUCCAUAUAUACUUUGUCCUAUCGACUCUAUUCUUAUGAUAAAUGGUAUGGAAAUUAAUAUACUCCAGAAUUGAUAUAAGAAUAAAACUAAAUAGGAAGGGUACGUUAUUAAAGUAAAAAGUGUCUGUUUAUAAAAAGUAAAAGACUUAGAAACGUGACAGGCAGGAUAACUGGAACCCUUAGGUACUCUCAUCAAUUUCUUGUAUGGUAUUCUACUACGAAAAAUAAGUUGGACCUUUCGAAUUACUCCACAUAUACUCUGUCCUACAAACAUUAUUCUUAUGAUAAAUGGUAUUAGAACAAAACUAAACUAUUCUUAUUGUAAAUUGUAUGCAAAUUAAUAUGCUCCUGAAUUGGUAUUAUAUCAAAACUAAAUAAAUUUCUUGUAUGGUAUUGUGCUUUCGAAAAAUAAGUAGGACCUUUUAAUUUACUCGAAAUAUACUCUGUCCUACCAACUCUAUUCUUAUGAUAAAUUGUAUGCAAAUUAAUAUACUCCUGAAUUGGUACUAUAACAAAACUAAAUAGGUAGGGUGCGUUAUUAAAGUAUUCCCUGUAAAAAGUGUGGGAUUGUCAAAUCUUAAUUACGUAACAACUUGUCAGGCAGGAUAACUGAACCCUUCGGUACUCUCAUCAAUUUGUUGUUGGUAUUCUACUUUUAAAAAAUAGUUGGAUCUUUAUGAAUUACUCGAAAUAUACAAUGUCCUAUCGACUCUAUUCUUAUGAUAAAUGGUAUGAAUAUUAAUAAACUCCCGAAUUGGUAUUAUAACAAAACUAAAUAGGUAGGGUGCGUUAUUAAAGUUUUCCCUGUAAAAAGUGUGGGAUUGUAAAAAUUUAAAGACUUAACAACUUGAUAGGCAAAAUAACUGAACCCUUCGGUACUCUCAUUAAUUUCUUGUAUGGUAUUCUACUUUUGAAAAAUAGGUAGGACCUUUAUAAAUUACUCCAAAUAAAUUCUUAUUCAAAUUCAAAUUCUUAUGAUAAAUAGUAUGAAUAUUAAUAUACUCCAGAAUUGGUAUAUUAACAAAACUAAAUAUGUAGGGUGCGUUAUUAAAUUAUUCCCUGUAGAAAGUGUGUGUUUAUAAAAAGCAAAAAGGCGUAACAAAGUGACAGGCAGGAUAAGUAAACCCUUCGGUACUCUUAUAAAUUUCUUGUACGGUACUCUACCUUAGAAAAAUAGGUAGGAACUCUAUGAAUUACUCGAAAUAUACUCUGUCCUACCAACUCUAUUCUUAUGAUAAAUUGUAUGCAAAUUAAUAUACUCCUGAAUUGGUACUAUAACAAAACUAAAUAGGUAGGGUGCGUUAUUAAAGUAUUCCCUGUAGAAAGUGUGGGAUUGUCAAAUCUUAAUGACGUAACAACUUGACAGGCAGGAUAACUGAACCCUUCGGUACUCUCAUCAAUUUGUUUUUGGUAUUCUACUUUUAAAAAAUAGUUGGACCUUUAUGAAUUACUCGAAAUAUACAAUGUCCUAUCGACUCUAUUCUUAUGAUAAAUGUUAUUAGAAAAAAAUUAAAUAGGUGGGGUGCAUUAUUGAAGUAUUUCCUGUAAAAAGUUUGGGAUUGUAAAAACUUAAAGACGUAACAAAUUGGCAGGCAAAAUAACUGAACCCUUCGGUACUUUCAUCAAUUUCUUGUAAGGCAUUCUACUUUUGAAAAAUAGGUAGGACCUUUAGUGUGUGUUUAUAAAAAGUAAAAGACUUAGAAACGUGACAGGCAGGAUAACUGGAACCCUUAGGUACUCUCAUUAAUUUCUUGUAUGGUAUUGUGCUUUCGAAAAUAAGGUAGGACCUUUUGAAUUACUCGAAAUAUACUCUGUCCUACCAAUUCUAUUCUUAUGAUAAAUGGUAUUAGAAAAAAAUAAAUAGGUAGGGUGCAUUAUUAAAGUGUUCCCUGUAAAAAGUGUUGGAUUGUAAAAACUUAAAGACGUAAGAACUUGACAGGCAGGACAACUGAACCCUUCGGUACUCUCAUCAAUUACUCGAAAUAUACUCUGUCCUACCAACUCUAUUCUUAUGAUAAAUGGUAUUAGGAAAAAACUAAGUAGGUAGGGUGCAUUAUUAAAGUAUUCCCAGUACAAAGUGUGGGAUUGUAAAAACUUAAAGAAUUAACAACUUGGCAGGCAAUAUCACUGAACCCUUUUACUUUCAUCAAUUUCUUUUAUGGCAUUCUACUUUUGAAAAAUAGGUAGGACCUUUAUAAAUUACUCCACAUAUACUCUGUCCUAUCGACUCUAAUAUGAUAAAUGGUAAUAGAAAAAAACUAAAUAGGGAGGGUGCAUUAUUAAGGUAUUCCCUAUACAAAGUGUGUGUUAAUAAAAAGUAAAAAGACGUAACAAAGUGACAGGCAGGAUAACUGAACCCUUCGGUACUCUCAUCAAUUUCUUGUAUGGUAUUCUACUUUUGAAAAAUAGGUAGGACCUUUAUGAAAACGUUACGUACGUUAUUAAAGUAAAAAGUGUGUGUUUAUAAAAAGUAAAAGACUUAGAAACGUGACAGGCAGGAUAACUGAAACCCUUAGGUACUCUCAUUAAUUUAUUGUAUGGUAUUGUGCUUUCGAAAAUUAAGAAGGACCUUUUGAAUUACUCGAAAUAUACUCUGUCCUACCAACUCUAUUCUUAUGAUAAAUGGUAUUAGAAAAAAACUAAGUAGGUAGGGUGCAUUAUUAAAGUAUUCCCUGUAAAAAGUGUGGGAUUGUAAAAACUUAAAGACGUAAGAACUUGACAGGCAGGACAACUGAACCCUUCGGUACUCUCAUCAAUUUGUUGUAUGGUAUUCUACUUUUGAAAAAUAGGUAGGAAUUUUAUGAAUUACCCGAAAUAUACUCUGUCCUACCAACUCUAUUCUUCUGAUAAAUGGUAUAAGAAAAAAACUAAGUAGGUAGGGUGCAUUAUUAAAGUAUUCCCAGUACAAAGUGUGGGAUUGUAAAAACUUAAAGACGUAAGAACUUGACAGGCAGGACAACUGAACCCUUCGGUACUCUCAUCAAUUUGUUGUAUGGUAUUCUACUUUUGAAAAAUUGGUAGGACCUUUAUAAAUUACUCCAAAUAUUCUCUGUCCUCUAGACUCUCUUCUUAUGAUAAAUGGUAUGGAAAUUAAUAUACUCCAGAAUUGGUAUUAAAGCAAUACUAAAUAGGUAGGGUACGUUAUGAAAGUACGACCAGUAAUAAGUGUGUGUUCAUAAAAAGUAAAAGACGUAUGAACGAAACAGGCAGGAUAACUGAACCAUUCGGUACUCUCAUCAAUUUCUUGUUUGGUAUUCUACUUUCGAAAAAUAAGUUGGACCUUUUGAAUUACUCCAAAUAUACUGUGUCCUAUCGACUCUGCUCUCUUCUUAUGAUAAAUGGUAUGGAAAUUAAUAUACUCCAGAAUUGGUAUUAAAGCAAUACUAAAUAGGUAGGGUACGUUAUGAAAGUACGACCAGUAAUAAGUGUGUGUUCAUAAAAAGUAAAAGACGUAUGAACGAAACAGGCAGGAUAACUGAACCCUUCGGUACUCUCAUCAAUUUCUUGUUUGGUAUUCUACUUUUGAAAAAUAAGUUGGACCUUUUGAAUUACUCCAAAUAUACUGUGUCCUAUCGACUCUGCUCUUAUGAUAAAUGGUAUUAAACAAAUACUUAAUAGGUAGGUUGCGAUAAUAAAGUAUUCCCUGUAAAAAGUGUGUGUUUAUAAAAAGUAAAACACGUAACAAAGUGAAAGGCAGGAUAACUGAAACCUUCGGUACUCUCAUCAAUUUCUUGUAUGGAAUUCUACUUUUAAAAAAUAUUUAGGACCUUUAUGAAAUAUUCGAAAUGUACUUUCUCCUAUCGACUCUAUUCUUAUAAUAAAUGGUAUUGAACAAAUACUAAAUAGGUAGGUUGCGAUAAUAAAGUAUUCCCUGUAAAAAGUGUGUGUUUAUAAAAAGUAAAACACGUAACAAAGUGAAAGGCAGGAUAACUGAAACGUUCGGUACUCUCAUCAAUUUCUUGUAUGGAAUUCUACUUUUAAAAAAUAUUUAGGACCUUUAUGAAAUAUUCGAAAUGUACUUUCUCCUAUCGACUCUAUUCUUAUGAUAAAUGGUAUUGAACAAAUACUAAAUAGGUAGGGUGCAAUAUUAAAGUAUUCCCUGUAAAAGUGUUUGUUUAUAAAAAGUAAAAGACGUAACAAAGUGAAAGGCAAGAUAACUGAACCCUUCGGUACUCUCAUUAAUUUCUUGUAUGGUAUUGUGCUUUCGAAAAAUAGGUAGGACCUAUUGAAUUACUCGAAAUAUACUCUGUCCUACCAACUCUAUUCUUAUGAUAAAUGGUAUUUGAAAAAAAUAGAAUAGGUAGGAUGCGUUAUUAAAGUAUUUCCUGUAAAAAGUGUGUGUUUAUAAAAAGUAAAAAGCGUAACAAAGUGACAGGCAGGAUAACUGAACCCUUCCGUACUCUCAUAAAUUUAUUGUAAGGUAUUCUGCUUUUGAACAAGAAAGGAAGGUAAUUUCGGCAAGCCGAAAUUUGUAUACCCUUGCAGUUAUAAGAAAUAAUCAACUUUAGGAACACCAUCUUAAAUUUUUAAUGAUUGUUGAUGUUAGGUGAAAUUAAACAGAAUUAUUUCAUUUUUUCCCUAACCCUUUUUUUUGACAGCUAUAUAUUAAAGUCGUCCGUUUUCAUUAAAUUUAAUUCAAAAAUUAUAAAAACAUAAAAACUGAUAUUUCCAAUAUUAUAAGAUAAUUUGUCAAAAAACACCAACGCUAUAAGCUGUUUUACAUUAUUUUCCAAUUCAUGUUUCGAUCGUCCCUAUGGCAGCUAUAUAAUACAGUCUUCCGAUUUUGUAAAUUAUUAAAAUUCAGAACUAACCAAAAAAAUGUUAUUUCCAAGCUUAUGAGGUUAUAUGUUAAAAACACGAGAAAUAUAAUUUUUUACAAUUUUUUUUUUACCGAUUUUUCCUAUGGAUGCUAUAAGAUAUGGUAUAAGACGUAACAACGUAACAGGCAGGAUAACUGAACCCUUCGGUAGGACGCGCUAUGAAAGUAUUCCCAGCAAACAUUUUACGCUUUACAAAAAGUAAAAGACGUAACAACUUAACAGACAGUAUAACUGAACCUUUGUGUAUUCUCAUCAACUUCUUGUAUGGUAUUCUACUUUUGAAAAAUAGGUAGGACCUUUAUGAAUUACUCCAGAACUGGUACUUUAACAAAACUAAAUAAAUAGGAUGAUUACUGAAAGUAUUCCCAGUAAAAAAAGUGUGUUUAUAAAAAGUGAAAGACCGAACAACGUGACAGGCAGGAUAACUUAACCCUUCGGUACUCUCAUAAAUGUCUUAUAUGGUAUUCUACUUUUGACCAAUAGGUAGGACCUUUAUGAAUUACUCCACAUAUACUCUGUCCUAUCGACUCUAAUAACAUGAUAAAUGGUAAUACAAAAAAACUAAAUAGGUAGGGUGCAUUAUUAAGGCAUUCCCUAUACAAAGUGUGUGUUUAUAAAAAGUAAAGACGUAACAAAGUGACAGGCAGGAUAACUGAAACCUUCGGUACUCUCAUCAAUUUCUUGUAUGGAAUUCUACUUUUAAAAAAUAUUUAGGACCUUUAUGAAAUAUUCGAAAUGUACUUUCUCCUAUCGACUCUAUUCUUAUGAUAAAUGGUAUUGAACAAAUACUAAAUAGGUAGGGUGCAAUAAUAAAGUAUUCCCUGUAAAAAGUGUGUGUUUAUAAAAAGUAAAACACGUAACAAAGUGAAAGGCAGGAUAACUGAAACCUUCGGUACUCUCAUCAAUUUCUUGUAUGGAAUUCUACUUUUAAAAAAUAUUUAGGACCUUUAUGAAAUAUUCGAAAUGUACUUUCUCCUAUCGACUCUAUUCUUAUGAUAAAUGGUAUUGAACAAAUACUAAAUAGGUAGGGUGCAAUAUUAAAGUAUUCCCUGUAAAAAGUGUUUGUUUAUAAAAAGUAAAAGACGUAACAAAGUGAAAGGCAAGAUAACUGAACCCUUCGGUACUCUCAUUAAUUUCUUGUAUGGUAUUGUGCUUUCGAAAAAUAGGUAGGACCUUUUGAAUUACUCGAAAUAUACUCUGUCCUACCAACUCUAUUCUUAUGAUAAAUGGUAUUAGAAAAAAAUAGAAUAGGUAGGAUGCGUUAUUAAAGUAUUUCCUGUAAAAAGUGUGUGUUUAUAAAAAGUAAAAGACGUAACAAAGUGACAGGCAGGCUAACUCUAACCGCUUUUUUUUGACAGCUAUAUAUUAAAGUCGUUAUUUUUUAUUAAAUUUAAUUCAAAAAUUAUAAAAAUAUAAUAAUUGAUAUUCCCAAUAUUAUAAGAUAAUGUGUCAAAAAACACCAACGCUUUAAGUUGUUUUACAUUAUUUUCCUAUUCAUUAUUCGAUCGUCCCUAUGACAGCUACAUGAUACAGUAGUCCAAUUUUAAUAAAUGAAAUUAAAAACUCAGAACUAUUUAUUUCCAAAAUUGUUCAAAUAUUUUCUCGCCAACUUUUUGAUCGUUCCUAUGGCAGAUAUAUAAUACAGUCUUCCGAUUUUGUAAAUUAUUAAGCACAAAAUUCAGAACUAAACAAAAAAUGUUAUUAAUUUUUUCCAAAUUUUUUUUACCGAUUAUUCCUAUGGGAGCUAUAAGAUAUUGUAAAAGACGUAACAACGUAACAGGCAGGAUAACUGAACCCUUCGGUAGGACGCGCUAUGAAAGUAUUCCCAGCAAACAUUUUACGCUUUACAAAAAGUAAAAGACGUAACAACUUAACAGGCAGUAUAACUGAACCUUUGGGUAUUCUCAUCAACUUCUUGUAUGGUAUUCUACUUUUGAAAAAUAGGUAGGACCUUUAUGAAUUACUCCAGGACUAGUACUUUAACAAAACUAAAUAAAUAGGAUGAUUACUGAAAGUAUUCCCAGUAAAAAAAGUGUGUUUAUAAAAAGUAAAAGACCGAUCAACGUGACAGUCAGGAUAACUGAACCCUUCGGUACUCUGAUCAAUGUCUUAUAUGGUAUUAUAUGGUAUUCUACAUUUGAAAAAUAGGAAUGACCUUUAUGAAUUACUCCAUAUAUACUCUGUCCUAUCGACUCUAUUCUUAUGAUAAAUGCUAUAAAAAUUAAUAUACUCCAGAAUUGAUAUAAGAAUAAAACUAAAUAGGAAGGGUACGUUAUUAAAGUAAAAAGUGUCUGUUUAUAAAAAGUAAAAGACUUAGAAUCGUGACAGGCAGGAUAACUGGAACCCUUAGGUACUCUCAUCAAUUUCUUGUAUGGUAUUCUACUACGAAAAAUAAGUUGGACCUUUCGAAUUACUCCACAUAUACUCUGUCCUACCAACAUUAUUCUUAUGAUAAAUGGUAUUAGAACAAAACUGAACUAUUCCUAUUGUAAAUUGUAUGCAAAUUAAUAUGCUGCUGAAUUGGUAUUAUAUCAAAACUAAAUAAAUUUCUUGUAUGGUAUUGUGCUUUCGAAAAAUAAGUAGGACCUUUUAAUUUACUCGAAAUAUACUCUGUCCUACCAACUCAAUUCUUAUGAUAAAUGGUAUUAAAAAAAACUAAAUAGGUAGGGUGCAUUAUUAAAGUAUUCCCUGUACAAAGUGUGGAAUUGUAAAAACUUAAAGACGUAAGAACUUGACAGGCAGGACAACUGAACCCUUCGGUACUCUCAUCAAUUUGUUGUAUGGUAUUCUACUUUUGAAAAAUAGGUAGGAACUUUAUGAAUUACUCGAAAUAUACUCUGUCCUACCAACUCUAUUCUUAUGAUAAAUGGUAUUAGAAAAAAAUAAAUAGGUAGGGUGCAUUAUUAAAGUAUUCCCUGUAAAAAGUGUGGGAUUGUAAAAACUUAAAGACCUAAGAACUUGACAGGCAGGACAACUGAACCCUUCGGUACUCUCAUCAAUUUGUUGUAUGGUAUUCUACUUUUGAAAAAUAGGUAGGAACUUUAUGAAUUACUCGAAAUAUACUCUGUCCUACCAACAAUAUUCUUAUGAUAAAUGGUAUAAGAAAAAAACUAAGUAGGUAGGGUGCAUUAUUAAAGUAUUCCCUGUACAAAGUGUGGGAUUGUAAAAACUUAAAGACGUAAGAACUUGACAGGCAGGACAACUAAACCCUUCGGUACUCUCAUCAAUUUGUUGAAUGGUAUUCUACUUUUGAAAAAUAGGUAGGAACUUUAUGAAUUACUCGAAAUAUACUCUGUCCUACCAACAAUAUUCUUAUGAUAAAUGGUAUAAGAAAAAAACUAAGUAGGUAGGGUGCAUUAUUAAAAUAUUCCCUGUAAAAAGUGUGGGAUUGUAAAAACUUAAAGACGUAAGAACUUGACAGGCAGGAUAACUGAACCCUUCGGUACUCUCAUCAAUUUGUUUAUGGUAUUCUACUUUUGAAAAAUAAGUAGGACCUUUAUAAAUUACUCCAAAUAUACAAUAUCCUAUCGAUAAGAUUAGAUUAUGGUAAAUGGUUUUCAAAAUGGUUUUCAGAGUGCUAUAUUGUAUUCCCAUUAACAAGUGUGUGUUUAUAAAAAGUAAUAGACGUAACUGGCAGAAUAACUGAACCCUUCGGUACUUAUAAAUGCAAUGCAAAUUACUAUACAUUAGAAUUGGUAUUAAAACAAAACUGACCAUGUAGGGUACGUUAUUAAAGUAUUCCCAGUAAAAAGUGUGUGUUUGUAAAAAGUAAUAGUCGUAAAAACAUGACAGGCAGGAUAACUGAACCCUUCGGUACUCUCAUCAAUUCUAUUUGCGAAAAAUAGGCAGGCCCUUAUGAAUUACUCGAUAUAUUCUCUGUCCUAUCGACUCUAUUCUUAUGAUAAAUGGUAUGCAAACUAAUUUAAUCCAGAACUGUUGUUAGAACAUAAACAACAAAAUGGGGUGGCAUCUUUAUCAAUUACUCCGAAUGUUAUCAUUCUUAUGAAUCUAAUCCAAAUGGGUAAUCAAGCAAGAAAGAAAGAUAUCGUCGGCAAGGCAAAUUUUUUUAUUCGUGGUAAAAUUGUGUGAACAAAACUUUUUGAUUUUUAGAAUUAGAAUUAUUACUACCGUAUUUGUUUGCUAAAUCAAAGUAAAUCUUUUUAUUAUUUUAGAAUAAUUAUUCCUAUGACAGACUAUAAUUUUAGAAUUCAAAUAAUUUUAUUCAAAAUUAUAAAAUAUUAGUAGAAUAACUAUCGCAGUAUCAACAAUAUAUAACAUUUUUUUGUUUAUAAAUACUCCUAUGGGACCUGUGAAUAUAGUUGUCCAAGAUAGAUCGUUCCGACCUUUAUGCUUCCUGCAAUAGAAGUAAGACUUUUGGAAUUUUGUAUUCCAAUAGCUUUAGAUUGCUUAGAAACGGUCAGACGUACAUGCGCUCAGGCAAAGUGAUCAUGAUUAUAUACUUAAUGGGGCCAGAAACGGUCCCUUCAAUGCGUCGCAAACUUGUGACUGAAAUUAUUGUACCUUCUGCAGGGGUAUAACAAUUUUAUAAAUAGAAGGCGUUCCAAGUAAAAACUGAGUGUUUAUGAAAAGCUCUAAAAGUAUUUCGUUUAUUUUAAUUAAACAUAUUUACGAAUGUUAUGAAACAAAUUAUCACGAAUUCAUUUAUUGAAAUUUUUAAUUUUUAAAGAAUAACACAAUUAUUUGAGAUACGCCACUGUUUAAAAAAAGGUUUAUACCAAAAUUGAAAACGAAAUAGAAAAGUUAUUUGAAUUCUUAAAUUCAUUUUUACGAACUCUUUGAAAGUAAGAACUCCACAUCAAGCUAAACUUGGAGAAGUGAAAUCUGGAAAUGCUUUUAAAACAGGCUUGUGUUGAAUUAACACAAUUAAAGUAAACUUAUAUACUUUGCGGAUCUAAAAAUAAAGACAAAUUAUUUGAAAACAAGCUUUACGAAAGAAAGCGCUGAAAAUCUUUCUGAGAUAAGGAAAACAUUUGCGCUGCAAACUCGGAUUCAAUAAUUUCUCUCGCGAAGCAUAAACCUAAAAUACUUAAAACAUAAAGAAAAAUGGUCAUUGAACACAGAAAUACCUCCAAUUACUAAAAUCAAAUAUUUAAUUAAAAUAACAACCCCGAAGAAUCGUUCCAAGUAUUUACUAUUUUUACAAUUACCUAAACCCAAGUAGAAACAGAUACAUAACAUUGACUCAUGGAUUUUAUGGUAAUUUUGCUUUCUAAGAUACAUUAUCAGGAACAAAAAUGUUGUACCACAUUUUAAAUUCGUAUGUAUUUAUAUGGAUAUGGAUUCAAAACCAAAAUAUGCAUUUUAUUAAUAUAUAGAGACAACGAUACAUUUUAAAUAAAUUAUUUUAUUUAUUUUUGAACUAUGAUUGCGAAAAAAGGAAUCAUAUAUUUCUCGCGUUCUAUCAAAAGUAUCGGAGAUGCUUCCGUGUAUAAUUCGUCAAAAAUAAACCAUUUCAACAAUUAAAUCCUACGCAAGUAUUUUGAGAAUCAACUAAAAAUGUCUUAAAUCGAAGCCAAUGUGGUCACAUGUAAAUUAUACAAAAUAUACAGAUAUACAUUUACAAAGUUCCUUUUCUUAAGGAAUAACCAAUCCUUAAAAUAUUAGUUCAUAUACAUUUUUAUUUAAUAAUAAUAAUUUAAUAAUCAAGUAUGAGCACCAAAAAAAUAAUUUGGUACUUUGUCGUCUUAAAUAAAAAUGAAUUUUUUUUAAUCUCAUACAAGCGCAGUAUUUUACUUAUUUUAAUAGUUAGUUAAACUAUACAGAUAGAAAUUCGUUUAUCAAUAAUUCUAUUUAAAUUAAUAUUAAUUAAUUUAAUUAAUCAUUUAUAUUUUUUUCAUUUUGCACGACAUUAAAUUAUUACAAUUUAAUACAAAUUAGUUUAUGGCCUUCAAUUGGGAUUCCCUGUUUUUAAAUUUUAUUCCGAAAAUAUUUUAUUUCGUUUGCAAAAAAACAUACAAAUCACAUUUUAAAUUAACUUUUUUUAAAAUCAAACAAUUUUAUAAAUUAUAAAAUAAAUAAUUGACUUGCUGUAAAGGUUGCAUAUUCAUGGGAUGAUAAAUAUUUGCUAAAUAAUUUUUAGCUAAAGCAUCGGAAUUGCAUCAAAUAUCUAAUUAUUGACUAAGUACAGAAGACCUACGAAAAUACAUAAAACUUAUAUGAAAAUAAAACUAUAUUUAAAAAUACUAACUAAUUUUACAAUGGAAAUAUAGUAUUUUUUACAAAAUGCCAGAUUUUUGACUUAUUUCAAAGCAUACAUUGCUGCCCUAUUCUUAUAUUUCGUCUAUAAAACAUUUUUAUUUGGACUAAAGAAAACCGCAGUCUUCUAUACUAUCAUUAUAAUCCGAUAAAUAUGGAUUAUUAAAUUUGUAAAAAAAUGUUUACCAAACGGAAACCAGAAAAAGCCCUGAUGCCGUGUAAGGGAAAAGACGGUUUGACGAGCUUAAACAUUAAAAAACUUCUCAAACAAAAAUGUUUAUUUGAUACGUCUAAAAUACCAAAUUCCAAUUGAGAUUAUACAAUUAACGAUAUUUAAUCAUAAACUAAACCAACAAAGAACACACAAGGAAGAUAAACCAUAACAUUGAACAAAACCUGAACAAGGAUUUGGUUUACGACAACUCAACGAUUUUAUCUUCACUGCCCUCUCCGGAAUGCAUCAUCAUAAGGAAAUAAUACAUUAAUAAUUCUACGCAGCCGUAAUUAUGUUUGGAUUCUUCUAUAAACAAAAACAAAGUCGCAGCAAUAAACUCUUUUAGCGUUUUGUUGAGUUGCAAUUAAAGCGAUUGUUAAAUUUGAUUUCUAAAUUCCUCACCAACAGCUAUUGUGCCACUCUGAAAGCGAUACUAGAAUAUAAUUCAGUAGUGCUAGCUAUUUUUGCUCUUUUUAAAAUGCAAAUGGGAACCAUGCUUUUAAAAAAAAAGAGGUAGAAAUCAUCUUAAAAAACAUGCACAACCACCUUGACUCACCACGAGAAAAGGACCACCUUUCAGAAAAUGGGAAACGUUUAUAAGGAAUGAAUGUGAAUAUGAUUGUUUAUUUUUGGUUUCAGCUUACCAGUGAUCUAUAUGUAUGUGGCAUAUCCUAUUGAAUGAGCUAGAUACUGGUUGAUUACUUGGUGUGCCUUACAAAUUGCUUAUCCACAAUUACUUUCUUGUUUGCACGAAAUUUUUGUAAAGUAUAAGUACCUAAUUUGUGGAGUCUUAAGGAUAAUAUUAAAAAGCGAGAAGAUUAUUCAUCAAAAGCUUGGGCUUUCACAUUAAGCAAAUAAAUAUUUAACAGCAUCUUGGAAUAUCCCUUGGUAUAUAUACAUUUCAUAACCUGAAUACUUCCACAUUUCAUAAAUUGUCGUCAGCUGUUGAAUUUUUACAACAUCUAAUAUACUGUACACUUUUGUGAUUUUGGAAUAUAGCCCUUUAUCCCAAAACACUAAAAAUGUUAAAAAUAUAUUUUAAUUUGUGUUCAAAUUGUUAACUCUUUGUUAACUAUUUACAAAAGUUUUAUUCGAGACCAAGUUUUCUAAUGUUCUUAAAUAACCAAAUUGACUAUAACACAUUUUAGUUAAAUUAUUGGACUCAUGAUAUAGGAAUACAUUUAUUUAAUUAUUUGUUUCAAAUAUUUAUUCACUAUAAAAAUGACGGCAUAUAUUACUUAACAAGUCGAAUUUGGGCUAUAUGUGCUUUGAAUAUUCGUUCCCCAGCGUUGAAAUAAAUAACUAACAAUGCUUAGUGUAACUACUACUAGAUUGCAAGACUUUCAUAAUCCUAUGAAUAAAUUUUGUAGUUUAUUAUCCACCAAACUAUCCAUUUAAGGUUUAUAUUAACGUCCUCUGCCUCUGAUGCUUACAUACAUAAGUGCUUGAAUUUGCCGGUUGUUUUCCACUAGUUUAUAGUAUUCACUCAGUAUUGUAUGGAUGUGGGCUCAAUACUUAUUUUCCAAAUAUUAUACAACACGAAUUAAUUGCAAAUAAAUAAUUAUAUUAUAUCUCGUUUUUCUCUCAACUUCCAAAAACUUUACAUCUUUGGCAAACCAUAAUCUAUUAUUUUCACCAGUUUUUUGUUCUUUAUUAUAUUUUUCCGGAAUUUAUACUUGAUCAUUUUUAUUUAAUAGAGUUGCGAUCUCGAACAACCUUAAGAACUUCACACCCUUUCACGUCCUUUUCGUACGAAUAAAUAAAGCGUCAGGUUUUCGGGUGAGGUUUCUGAUGCUUUGUCUCUUACCUUUUUACAUCCCUUUACAUGAAUCCCCCAUCUUGGUAUUGCAAAUACCACAAAAAACCUCACCCACCAAAUAUAUGAACAAAGAGAAAAAAUUUCAAUAAGUACUGUGACAAUAGUCAUAUCAACAAAGAUGUCUACGCCUAUACGAAGGAUGGACUAAUACUCCAAGGAUGUUACUACUUUCCCAAAACUUGAGACUGUGACUCCAAGGAUGCUGUCACUAACCCUCGGAAGGUAUAGAACCGAUCACAUAUUAAAAAUAAAUAUACAUAUGUGAAAGUAUAGUAUAGAAUUAUAUAUUAAAAAUAAAGAUACAUAAAUGAUAAAGAUAAUAAAUGAAAUGAAAAUAGUAUUAGCUGUAUAAUUAAAUACUUUGCUACAUGUUUGUAGUAUUCUAAAUUAUAGUUAAGGUACAACCCCAUGAAGAGAUGUUACCUGAUUUGGAUUCUACUGAUGACAAACUGCUCUGCCAGAGUUUAACUAAACAGCUAGAGGAACCACUCGUAAUAACUGUCCUCAACUUCUUCAAAGCAAAAACUUAAAUAAAUUUUACUUAUUAUAACUGCACUCUGCUAAAUAAAUAAAAUAGCUUGAAAGCAUACUUUUUUUGCGAA